UACAUCUCGUUCAAAUAUUUUAGGACUCCUG
Molecule: non-coding RNA, 31 nt
Filed under: Rattus norvegicus (Norway rat)
Lineage: Eukaryota; Metazoa; Chordata; Mammalia; Rodentia; Muridae
Source: RNAcentral